RNAcentral lists this ribosomal RNA (495 nucleotides) under uncultured bacterium. RNAcentral's name for it is "partial 16S ribosomal RNA". It matches the Rfam family "Bacterial small subunit ribosomal RNA", at positions 28 to 507 of the family's 1533-position model. The record is from RNAcentral.
GACGAACGCUGGCGGCGUGCCUAAUACAUGCAAGUAGAACGCUGAAGGAGGAGCUUGCUUCUCCGGAUGAUUUGCGAACGGGUGAGUAACGCGUAGGUAACCUGCCUGGUAGCGGGGGAUAACUAUUGGAAACGAUAGCUAAUACCGCAUAAGAGUAGAUGUUCCAUGACAUUUGCUUAAAAGGUGCAAUUUCAUCACUACCAGAUGGACCUGCGGUGUAUUAGCUAGUUGGUGGGGUAAAGGCUUAUCAAGGCGACGAUACAUAGCCGACCCGGGAGGGUGGUCGGCCCAAAUGGGAAUGGAGCCCCGCCCAGGACCCUAAGGGAGGCAGCCGUUGGGAAUCUUCGGCAAUGGACGGAAAUCUGACCGAACAACGCCGCGUGGGUGAAGAAGGGUUUCGGGUCGUAAAGCUCCGUUGUAAGGGAAAAAAGAGUGUGAGAGUGGAAAGUUCACACUGUGACGGUAUCUUACCAGAAAGCGACGGCUAACUACGUG